GCAUAUCAAUAAGCGGAGGAAAAAGAAACCAACAGGGAUUGCCUCAGUAACGGCGAGUGAAGCGGCAACAGCUCAAAUUUGAAAUCUGGCCCCAGGCCCGAGUUGUAAUUUGCAGAGGAUGCUUUUGGCGCGGUGCCUUCCGAGUUCCCUGGAACGGGACGCCAUAGAGGGUGAGAGCCCCGUCUGGUUGGACACCAAGCCUUUGUAAAGCUCCUUCGACGAGUCGAGUAGUUUGGGAAUGCUGCUCUAAAUGGGAGGUACAUGUCUUCUAAAGCUAAAUACCGGCCAGAGACCGAUAGCGCACAAGUAGAGUGAUCGAAAGAUGAAAAGCACUUUGGAAAGAGAGUUAAACAGCACGUGAAAUUGUUAAAAGGGAAGCGUUUAUGACCAGACGUGGGCCGGUUAAUCAUCCAGCGUUCUCGCUGGUGCACUUUGCCGGUCCAGGCCAGCAUCAGUUCGCUGCGGGGGAUAAAGGCUUUGGGAAUGUAGCUCCUCGGAGUGUUAUAGCCCUCUGCGUAAUACCCUGCGGCGGACUGAGGUUCGCGCUCUGCAAGGAUGCUGGCGUAAUGGUCAUCAACGACCCGUCUUGAAACACGGACCAAGGAGUCGUCUUCGUAUGCGAGUGUUCGGGUGUAAAACCCCUACGCGAAAUGAAAGUGAACGCAGGUGAGAGCUUCGGCGCAUCAUCGACCGAUCCUGAUGUUCUCGGAUGGAUUUGAGUAAGAGCAUACGGGGCCGGACCCGAAAGAAGGUGAACUAUGCCUGUAUAGGGUGAAGCCAGAGGAAACUCUGGUGGAGGCUCGCAGCGGUUCUGACGUGCAAAUCGAUCGUCAAAUAUGGGCAUGGGGGGCGAAAGACUAAUCGAACCUUCUAGUAGCUGGUUUCCGCCGAAG
This 893-nucleotide ribosomal RNA is filed under the name Sirastachys castanedae. RNAcentral's name for it is "LSU rRNA". It matches the Rfam family "Eukaryotic large subunit ribosomal RNA", at positions 38 to 966 of the family's 3401-position model. Lineage: Eukaryota; Fungi; Ascomycota; Sordariomycetes; Hypocreales; Stachybotryaceae. The record is from RNAcentral.